GACGAACCGUGCGAACGUUGUUCGGAAUCACUGGGCUUAAAGGGCGCGUAGGCGGGCUGCCAAGUCUGGGGUGAAAUCCCACGGCUCAACCGUGGAACUGCCUCAGAUACUGGCGGCCUCGAGGGAGGUAGGGGCAUGCGGAACUAUGGGUGGAGCGGUGAAAUGCGUUGAUAUCCAUAGGAACUCCGGUGGCGAAGGCGGCGUGCUGGACCUCUUCUGACGCUGAGGCGCGAAAGCCAGGGGAGCAAACGGG
RNAcentral lists this ribosomal RNA (253 nucleotides) under uncultured bacterium. Its description in RNAcentral is "partial 16S ribosomal RNA". It matches the Rfam family "Bacterial small subunit ribosomal RNA", at positions 524 to 776 of the family's 1533-position model. The record is from RNAcentral.